UGCACAAAUUCAUCACAUAUUAGAUAAAUUGAUAUCGAUGUUUAAUCACAACCCAUUCAAUCUUCUUGUACAUAUACACUAAUGUCGGAAAUGUUUUGUAUUAGAGUUCUUCCUUCAAGCAAGUGAAGUUAUAUUCUUUAGCGGAUGAGAAAGCCCACCAAAAUUACACGGGCAGAUUAGUCAACUCAUCUUAAUGGACUUAUCCAACAUACAUCGGCUGCACCAAAAUUUUCUCUACCCAUAAUACUUUAGUCAGCAGGUUCUCCUAACUUUCCAUAACAACAACACCCACACCCACUGCAAGAUGACAAACCUUUCAAAGAAUUUUGCUGACCUAUGUUUGGCUCCUCCCAACAAGAUUGGAAUGCUAGCAUAAACUCUCUAACAAUGACUACCAUCAGUCCAAACAAACUCAACUCCACUUGCUUUUGCAUUCUCUCUCUGUUUCUGUACCUUUCUGGCUCUGCAUUUUCUAGCUGUAUUGCUAAGGAAUUACCGGGUAUCCUGGUUUGGUUCUGCUCACUCUUGAAACUGGGUGAAUUAGUACAUAAGUGUUGGCGAUGUUGAGUUCUUCUACUACUUUGUGAAG
Syzygium oleosum is the source of this 589-nucleotide long non-coding RNA. RefSeq lists it as uncharacterized. Lineage: Eukaryota; Viridiplantae; Streptophyta; Magnoliopsida; Myrtales; Myrtaceae. The transcript is spliced from 2 exons. The record is from RefSeq and is a predicted model, not a curated record.